RNAcentral lists this ribosomal RNA (254 nucleotides) under uncultured bacterium. Its description in RNAcentral is "partial 16S ribosomal RNA". It matches the Rfam family "Bacterial small subunit ribosomal RNA", at positions 524 to 776 of the family's 1533-position model. The record is from RNAcentral.
UACGUAGGGUGCGAGCGUUGUCCGGAAUUAUUGGGCGUAAAGAGCUCGUAGGCGGUGUGUCACGUCGGCCGUGAAAACCUGCAGCUUAACUGUGGGCGUGCGGUCGAUACGGGCAUCACUGGAGUUCGGCAGGGGAGACUGGAAUUCCUGGUGUAGCGGUGAGAUGCGCAGAUAUCAGGAGGAACACCAAUAGCGAAGGCAGCUCGCUGGGACGGUACUGACGCUGAGGCGCGAAAGCGUGGGGAGCAAACAGG